RNAcentral lists this ribosomal RNA (274 nucleotides) under uncultured bacterium. RNAcentral's name for it is "partial 16S ribosomal RNA". It matches the Rfam family "Bacterial small subunit ribosomal RNA", at positions 523 to 796 of the family's 1533-position model. The record is from RNAcentral.
AUACGGAGGGUGCAAGCGUUGUUGGGAAUUACUGGGCGUAAAGCGCGUGCAGGCGGUAAGGUAAGUCAGAUGUGAAAGCCCCGGGCUCAACCCGGGAAGUGCAUUUGAUACUGCCUUUCUUGAGUAUGGGAGAGGAGAGUGGAAUUCCCAGUGUAGAGGUGAAAUUCGUAGAUAUUGGGAGGAACACCCGUGGCGAAGGCGACUCUCUGGACCAAUACUGACGCUGAGACGCGAAAGCGUGGGGAGCGAACAGGAUUAGAAACCCCAGUAGUCC